This 717-nucleotide long non-coding RNA is filed under the name Gallus gallus (chicken). Its description in RNAcentral is "lncRNA (ENSGALG00010016284.1)". The record is from RNAcentral. Lineage: Eukaryota; Metazoa; Chordata; Aves; Galliformes; Phasianidae.
GAAGGCUCUUGCCCUGCUAGUUAUAAUGAAUUCAAUGGCUGUGUUUUAUUUUAGCUUAACGGGACACUGUGCAAGGCUUUUAGAAAUUUAGUGGCACGUAUGAAUGCCAUCAGGCCGUUAGGACACCAUUUGCCUAGCAAAUACAGUAUCUCCCUGGAUGCUGCUGAGGGUGGCAGCUCCCUGCUGCUGGCGCCAGCUCUGUUGUCAGCUCCACGAAGCCAUCAGACAGUUCCAGCUGCUUACUUUUUUCCACAUGCUGUUAAUAAUUCUGUCAGCCGGGAAAGCCACGUUUUGAUUUUAUCUGCACUCCAGACAGUUCGUGGAGAAAAAAAGAUUAUAUAGGGAUUGCUUAAAUGUAUUCUCUUAGAUGCUAAGGAUGCCUUGUCAGUGUCUGUACCUGAUGCUUAAUUAACAAAGAGAGAGAAAUGCUUGGGACUGGAUGGGGUUCGACUAGAGGGUGAUGUGCAUGCAAGGCUGCUGCUGACCCUCUACAGAAAAUCCUGGAGACCUCCCAGCUGAUGAGAAGAGUUAAUGCUAAAGGAUGAGGAUCUACAGGGAAGGAUGGCAGUCAGCUUCCCCUUUGGCGUCAAGGACUGCCAAGCACAUGGGAAUUCAUUUUCAGGCUCAUGAAGCUACCAGGCAGCAGGCAGGGUCAGGCCGGGUUCUGUCUUCUGUGCUGGGAUGGCUGGCUCUGGAGACAUGGGGACAGUCGUGGAU